CGCCCCCCCCCCCCCGCGCGCGCUCCUCCACCUUCCCCGUCCUCCUCCAGCGCCUCCUCGCCAUACCGGUGGCGCGCAGACCAGCAGCCCAUCUCCCUGCUUUUCCGCCGGCCACAAAGACCGGUAACCCCACCUCCCUUUUUCCGCCGGCGGUCAGCAGUACCCUCGGGACUGGAGGACUGGGCGUGGCUUCGACGCUGCCUCCCACGUCUUUGCCGACCUCAUCGGUCACCGCGGACGCGGCCUGAGCGGGGUAUCUCCUGCCAUCGUUGGCGCUUCCGUCCUCACCGGCAGUCGAGGCCUAAGCCGGGUUUUCCUCGAUGUCUUGGCCGUCGCCGAUGUGCUCCCAUCGCCGUCCUGGAUACGCCUGCUCUCCCUUCCCUCGGUGCGCGACCAGGCACGACUGACUGCGGGGAACUCCGACCCCGUGCAUGUUACUGCAGCGCCUCCUACUUUCUCUCUCUCACCAGGUUGAUGCGUGCCAACUAUUUGAUGGUAUGUUUGUGAGGAUUUUUUUCUUGAUUGAAUAAUGCUCCAACAAUCCUUGCAAGAUUUAGAGGUGUAUCAAUUCAACUUUUAGCAUAUCCCAUGGGCCAUCACCACCACCGGGCUGCUCCUUUAUCAACGUCAUUAGGGACAGGUACAUAUGCAACUUGGAAGCAAAAAUUAUCGAGAAUGUCGCAUAUGCCUUUGUUUGAUGCGUAAUCAUGAUCAUUUUGUUAGUAUGUUGCUGUAAUUUCAAAAUAUUGUUGUCCUCCUCAUCCGAAUUCUUGCACCAAGCUCCAGGCACAGAAGCUGUUGUAUCGCGUGGACGGAGAGAUGCGAGAUUGAUGUUUUCCAAAUCAGUGACAUUUUGACUACCAUCAUAACUAGACGAGGCAUAGGUUUCCAGAUGCAUACAAAUUCAUUGGACACAAUAUCCACUUUAUUAGUCGCAAAUAUUUUUUCUAAAUUUUCACUGAAGGAAGCAUCACACAAAAAUAUAAGUUGUAUUAACCCAAAUUUUUAAUUAAAGGAUUAGCAAUGGACAAGGUUCACAUAAAAUACUUUGAAGUUGAGAAAAAGCCAGUAUUUUCUAUGUUAUUCCUCAUGAAGAGGAGCUUCUGUUAGAAUUUUUGGGUACAUAUAUCAUAUGGUACUGCUAGCGAGUCCAAUCACUUUUGAUUUCGUACAAUCAGAAUUUUAUUUUCUGAUCUUUUAUAUUUGGUAUAGAUUGUUGUAUAAAGAGCACAUGGACACCAGUGACCUUUUGAAUUUUGCCUGCUCAUUGGCAUUCUCACUCUGCCUCCAAGCUGUCUCUGACGAAACGGUGGUGUUCCCCUGCCAUACUGCUGGAGAAGGCUGACGCUCCUCUUGGGGUAGAGUUAAAUGGAAAACAGCCUGCGAGGGGGACAACUACAAGAUCUUUUCGGAGACUCCAAGGCCACGGCGAUGUUUUGCAUCACCCUGACAGCUAUUGCGGCAACCACUAGAGCAGGUACUCCGUGGCCAGAUCCCUUUGAUGAGAGAAAUGAAUAGCUGAUAAAGUCUACAUUGGAGUUUUGUUGUACUGAAAUUUGUUCAGUCCAUGUGGAAUUUUCCCAAUGAUACAACCAGGGUAAACACAGAAAGAUCCUACUUAAAGCACAAGCAGAGGUGUUGGAGCUCAUGUGACAAUACACUAGGGAUGACCUGGAGGCCAAGAAGAUUCGUUUCUCUUUCAGGUAUCAUCGUGCUCCAUUUCGAAAAAAGAUUAUGGAACAUGAAAGAAGGAGAUUAAACGAUAUGCAAGCACCUACACAAGAUGUGCAGAGAUGUUACCAAUGUCAGCUUCUCUGCGCACUCUGAGCACGCACUCUGAGCAGUACCAACACGUUGAGUGUGUAUUCAGUGAGUCACCAUCCAGUCAGAAGCAGAGAACCCUCAUCGGUUCAGUACAGAUGUUGCAAGUGUGUUUGAUUUUUACUCUCCUCAUGAGUUGUGCAUCAUGGAGAUUUAUAGGAUAGUGGUUCCCAAGAACUUAAAAAAGCUGCUGGAAAGCAUCCUGACGGAUCAACCGAAGAAAGAAAUCACAGAUCGCAACAAUCUUUAUGCGGCUUAAUGGGUUAUCGGAGAAGUAAAUUCUGAAAGGAAAGCGAUCAAAGCUGAAAAUACCAUUAGCAGCUAUUACCUAUGGUUCCUGGAGUUUUUGUGAUACAGUAAAGUGGUCUGAUUAUUUUUGUAAUGGCAAUGCUGAGACUCUAGGCUUCCCUGUCGAUCAUAGGUAGUCUGCACUGUAGUCCAAAAAAAAUUUGAACUUCUGUACUGGACUAUUUUGUAAUGACACACUUUGUUUGUGCAAAUGUCGUGCUAUAAUUAUCGUGUGUCUCUCUUAUCUAGAAACCUCAACUUUCUCCAUGUAAGGAUUCUUGGUAUGUUAAUGAAGUUGUUGCUUGCCAGGCUUAA
Molecule: long non-coding RNA, 2424 nt
Organism: Lolium perenne
Lineage: Eukaryota; Viridiplantae; Streptophyta; Magnoliopsida; Poales; Poaceae
Source: RefSeq, a predicted model, not a curated record